RNAcentral lists this ribosomal RNA (484 nucleotides) under uncultured bacterium. RNAcentral describes it as "partial 16S ribosomal RNA". It matches the Rfam family "Bacterial small subunit ribosomal RNA", at positions 29 to 507 of the family's 1533-position model. The record is from RNAcentral.
AUUGAACGCUGGCGGCAUGCUUUACACAUGCAAGUCGAACGGCAUCGCGGGCUUCGGCCUGGCGGCGAGUGGCGAACGGGUGAGUAAUACAUCGGAACGUGCCCAGUAGUGGGGGAUAGCUCGGCGAAAGCCGGAUUAAUACCGCAUACGACCUGAGGGUGAAAGCGGGGGAUCUUCGGACCUCGCGCUAUUGGAGCGGCCGAUGGCAGAUUAGCUAGUUGGUGGGGUAAAGGCCUACCAAGGCGACGAUCUGUAGCUGGUCUGAGAGGACGACCAGCCACACUGGGACUGAGACACGGCCCAGACUCCUACGGGAGGCAGCAGUGGGGAAUUUUGGACAAUGGGCGAAAGCCUGAUCCAGCAAUGCCGCGUGUGUGAUGAAGGCCUUCGGGUUGUAAAGCACUUUUGGCGGGAACGAAAAGGACCGUGCCAAUACCACGGUUCGAUGACGGUACCCGCAGAAUAAGCACCGGCUAACUACGUG